This 691-nucleotide ribosomal RNA is filed under the name uncultured bacterium. Its description in RNAcentral is "bacterial SSU rRNA". It matches the Rfam family "Bacterial small subunit ribosomal RNA", at positions 32 to 715 of the family's 1533-position model. The record is from RNAcentral.
AACGCUAGCUACAGGCUUAACACAUGCAAGUCGAGGGGCAGCAUUUUUCUAGCAAUAGAAGAGAUGGCGACCGGCGCACGGGUGAGUAACACGUAUCCAACCUGCCGAUAACUCCGGAAUAGCCUUUCGAAAGAAAGAUUAAUACCGGAUGGCAUACGAAUAUCGCAUGAUAUUUUUAUUAAAGAAUUUCGGUUAUAGAUGGGCAUGCGUUCCAUUAGGUAGUUGGUGAGGUAACGGCUCACCAAGCCGACGAUGGAUAGGGGAACUGAGAGGUUGGUCCCCCACACUGGUACUGAGACACGGACCAGACUCCUACGGGAGGCAGCAGUGAGGAAUAUUGGUCAAUGGGCGAGAGCCUGAACCAGCCAAGUCGCGUGAAGGAAGAAGGAUCUAUGGUUCGUAAACUUCUUUUGCAGGGGAAUAAAGUGCAGGACGUGUCCUGUUUUGUAUGUACCCUGAGAAUAAGGAUCGGCUAACUCCGUGCCAGCAGCCGCGGUAAUACGGAGGAUCCGAGCGUUAUCCGGAUUUAUUGGGUUUAAAGGGUGCGUAGGUGGUUUGAUAAGUCAGCGGUGAAAGUUUGCAGCUUAACUGUAAAAAUGCCGUUGAAACUGUCGGACUUGAGUGUAAAUGAGGUAGGCGGAAUGCGUGGUGUAGCGGUGAAAUGCAUAGAUAUCACGAAGAACUCCGAUUG